GUGGGGAAUAUUGGACAAUGGGCGCAAGCCUGAUCCAGCCAUGCCGCGUGAGUGAUGAAGGCCUUAGGGUUGUAAAGCUCUUUCGUCAGGGAAGAUAAUGACGGUACCUGAAGAAGAAGCCCCGGCUAACUUCGUGCCAGCAGCCGCGGUAAUACGAAGGGGGCUAGCGUUGCCCGGAAUCACUGGGCGUAAAGCGCACGUAGGCGGCUUUCUAAGUCAGGGGUGAAAUCCUGGAGCUCAACUCCAGAACUGCCUUUGAUACUGGAGAGCUUGAGUUCGGGAUAGGUGAGUGGAACUGCGAGUGUAGAGGUGAAAUUCGUAGAUAUUCGCAAGAACACCAGUGGCGAAGGCGGCUCACUGGCCCGAUACUGACGCUGAGGUGCGAAAGCGUGGGGAGCAAACAGGAUUAGAUACCCGUGUAGUCC
RNAcentral lists this ribosomal RNA (425 nucleotides) under uncultured bacterium. Its description in RNAcentral is "partial 16S ribosomal RNA". It matches the Rfam family "Bacterial small subunit ribosomal RNA", at positions 354 to 796 of the family's 1533-position model. The record is from RNAcentral.